This 23-nucleotide non-coding RNA is filed under the name Cricetulus griseus (Chinese hamster). The record is from RNAcentral. Lineage: Eukaryota; Metazoa; Chordata; Mammalia; Rodentia; Cricetidae.
UCCAACAUCAACGACUUUUCUGC